AAUGAACGCUGGCGGCAUGCCUAACACAUGCAAGUCGAACGAGACCUUCGGGUCUGCUGGCGCAUGGGUGCGUAACGCGUGGGAACGUGCCCUUAGGUUUGGAAUAACUCCUCGUAAGGGGUGCUAAUACAGGGUAAUUUCCUCGGACCAAAGAUAUGUCGCCUUUGGGUGGGCCCGCGAUGGUUUAGCCAGUUGGUAGGGUAAAAGCCUAUCACGGCGACGAUCCUUAGCUGGUUUGAGAGAAUGAUCAGCCACACUGAGAGUGAGACGCGGCCCGGACUCCUGGGGGAGGAGGCAGUGGCGGAUCUAGGAAAACCGGGGGAGUGCUGAUGCAGCUAUGCCUGGUAAGUGCUGAAGGCGUUAGGGUAGUGCAGCUCUUUUACACGGGGUGAUAAUGACAGUACCGAAAGAAUAAGCACCGGCUAAAUCCGUG
RNAcentral lists this ribosomal RNA (433 nucleotides) under uncultured bacterium. RNAcentral describes it as "partial 16S ribosomal RNA". It matches the Rfam family "Bacterial small subunit ribosomal RNA", at positions 29 to 507 of the family's 1533-position model. The record is from RNAcentral.